Long non-coding RNA from Diceros bicornis minor, 2713 nucleotides. RefSeq lists it as uncharacterized. The record is from RefSeq and is a predicted model, not a curated record. The transcript has 4 exons. NCBI's taxonomy places the organism in Eukaryota, Metazoa, Chordata, Mammalia, Perissodactyla, Rhinocerotidae.
UGGGAGCCGUCAGCCUUGUGAUCCCGGCCACUGGCUUUCCUCAGGGCACCUCCCUUGGUCUGAAUCACGGAAGCUACACUGCACGUUCUUUCCCACCAAUGACCAGUGAGCGAGCAGCAUCCUGGGUGCUGAGGAGGCCUUGUCGCCCCACAAGGCCUUGCCUGCCUGCAGCACCCUCACCCACCCCCUGCCCCACCAUGAGGUCCUGAUUGCUCGCUCACUCGUUCUCCUGCCACUCCCACUGUCCCCAACCAGCCAGCACGGGGAGAGGCUCACUGACUGGUCCCCUUUCUACUCAGACCCUCCCUAAGCUGCAGCCGUGGGAAUCCGAGCCUUUUACAUCAAUGUGCUUGGGUUUCAGUAAACAUGAAGGCACUGGGCUUCGGGUGCAGCACACAGGCCUCAACAUGGUGGAAGGAAGAGUCUGGAUUUCACUCCACUGCCGCCGCCUCCCACAGCUCUCUUCCCGCUCGCUAUUGAAUACUUCAGUUCAAGAGCCUCAGGUGCUGUGUCCGUUCCAAGAGUCCUAGUGCUCCGUGGUGAUCUUGGAAGCCACUCUGGUAUCCCAGGAUCUAUUCAAAUCAAGUUCGUCAGUUCUGAGUUUAGAAAAAUCUUCAACUGUGCAUAUAUGCAUGGAAAUGUGACACAGACUCCUGGAGAGUGUCUUGUCUAGAGGAAUACCUGAAUGAAAAGCGGCAAUCUCAGCUGGCUAAUCGAGAAGAGCUAGAGACCUUCAUCUGUAUCUUGGUCAUUCUCCUCCAAGAAGCCUCCUUUUUUUAUGGGCUGCCCCCUGUGGAUAUGGGCAUAUGUGUUGGUAUUGUUGAACCAGCUGGAGGGCCACACGAAGAAAUGGAAUUGAGUGAGCAGAAUAUGGUUAACUCUCAAAACCCCAGCUGCUGUGCUUCAGUCAGCAGGAAACAACAGGUGUCAUCCUCGUGGAUCUGUGGGCCCAACUACGAACAGAGAAUGGAAAGUUAACACACAAACGUUUUGUUCUCCAGAAAAAUGAAAAUCAUUCAGCCAAGUCCACACAGCUGUAGCCAGUGGCCAUUUGUGAUAUGUUAGUCUUUGCAAAGUAACAGGAGAUAUUUAGUUCGGGCCUGAGAAUAUGACAUAUAAGCGGACUUUCCCACCGAAUCAUGCACAUACACUAUUUCCAUUAACGGUUCUUUUCUGUCUUAAUUAAAUUUAGAGUUUAAUCCAUAAGCAGUGUUCGAAGGGAAUGGUAUACUUUUGGGAAAAUGAGACCAAACUUUUAGCUUACACAAAAAUGUCAUUUUAAAGCAUAAAAUUGAAAAUACAGCAUCUUUUGUUCUUUAAGUAUAAUUGCUGAUUAUGUUUUCACUUUAUGACCUAGCAUGUAGUAUUUGUUGCAAAGCACAUAUUAAAUAAUUAAAUACUUUAAAAAUGUACUUUUUUGAAACAAAGAUUUCAAUCUCUGUGAAGAGAAACAAUACUAUGCACUUAUAUAAUAUUUAUAUAAAGCACAAUAACAUUUACAUAAUAUCUUUGAGGAUGUCAGAGUGUUUUCCCUGCAGAAACAACACUGUAGCAGCUCUAGAGAGAAGGGCAAAUUUUUUUGUUAUGCUUACUUAACUCUAUUCCUGCGGAGAGUGCCUGUACUCAAAGUCAGGAGAGACAGAGCAUAGUGAGGGAGAGGAGAGCAGAGAAGAGUUAUGGGUCUCCCAGGCUACGGAGUCUGAUUCUGUUAUUUUCUAGGUCUGGAAAAAAGGAAACCAGCAUGAAAUCACAAGUCAUAUCUUGAUGAGGGAAAACAAAAGAAGAUCCUAUUGUGUCAGGUCAUUUAAAACUCCAAAGUGACUUUUAUUAUUACAGCUGGAUAAAGUGAGUGGGUUCUUAUUGGUUUAGAUAUUAAAAUGAACCAUAAACAUGGCUGUUUGGGCUAAGUGAGUGAUGAAUCUUAUGUGCUGGCUUAAUUUCCCAGAGUUUUAAGUGGAUUAGUCUAAAGGCAAUACCAAUUUAUUAGUUUCUCAGAACUAGAGUUGGGAAAAAAUGAUAGUAUGAAUAAGAAAAUGUUAUUAUGCAGUAUAUAUUUCAUUUUAAAGUUUGAAUUAUUUCUUGGAAUCUGAUCUGGGUCUGAUCUGUAGAAUUUUCCACUUGACAGCCUUAAACAUUGGCAAUAAUCCAACAGUUGUUACUGACUCCUUUUAAGCUUCACUACCCAGGAUUUCAUUUUGGUGGUUUGAAAAAAGUCCCAUGAAUUGCAUCCUUUCACAGUUAGAAAUCGAAGGGUUCACACUUCUUGUCAGCAGGAAGUGGAGGGUGGGAAGAAUUCUAUUUUUGGAGUUGAAAGGCCACCUUUGACCCAGAAAUGUGCUGUUGGGUGAAAGACACUUCUCUGUUCUGUCUAACUUGAUUUACCCAAGGAAUGGAGAAAUGUACAGGAGGUCAACUUCAGAAGACUUGUUUCCUCCUAGGGCUCUAAGAUAACCCAUACUAACCUCGUCUCAAGAAUUUUAGAUUUUUCAGGUGUUUAUUUUGGUCUUGUGUGACCCAUUGCCAGUCAUUUAAAUUUAGAUUAUUCAAAACCUUCUAAAUUGAUAUCUUGAGUGUUUUCCAAGAUAUGAGGGUCAGAAUUUAUACUUCUAGAUCAAAGCAUGGGCAACUAAGGGCCAAAUCUCACUUACUGCCUGAUUUUGUAAAUAAAAUUUUAUUGAAACACAGCCAUGUCCAUUCAUUUACAUGUUGUCUA